UAACAAGGUUUCCGUAGGUGAACCUGCGGAAGGAUCAUUACUGAGUGAGGGCCCUCUGGGUCCAACCUCCCACCCGUGUUUAUUGUACCUUGUUGCUUCGGUGCGCCCGCCUCACGGCCGCCGGGGGGCUUCUGCCCCCGGGUCCGCGCGCACCGGAGACACUAUUGAACUCUGUCUGAAGAUUGCAGUCUGAGCAUAAACUAAAUAAGUUAAAACUUUCAACAACGGAUCUCUUGGUUCCGGCAUCGAUGAAGAACGCAGCGAAAUGCGAUAACUAAUGUGAAUUGCAGAAUUCAGUGAAUCAUCGAGUCUUUGAACGCACAUUGCGCCCCCUGGUAUUCCGGGGGGCAUGCCUGUCCGAGCGUCAUUGCUGCCCUCAAGCACGGCUUGUGUGUUGGGCUCCGUCCCCCCGGGGACGGGUCCGAAAGGCAGCGGCGGCACCGAGUCCGGUCCUCGAGCGUAUGGGGCUUUGUCACCCGCUCUGUAGGCCCGGCCGGCGCCAGCCGACAACCAAUCAUCCUUUUUUCAGGUUGACCUCGGAUCAGGUAGGGAUACCCGCUGAACUUAAGC
Molecule: ribosomal RNA, 570 nt
Filed under: Penicillium spinulosum
Lineage: Eukaryota; Fungi; Ascomycota; Eurotiomycetes; Eurotiales; Aspergillaceae
Description: eukaryotic LSU rRNA
Rfam family: 5.8S ribosomal RNA (bases 214-367)
Source: RNAcentral